UACAUAGAAUCAUUUGUAUUUAUGUACAAUUAUACGUAAAUUUUUCUGUGCUUUUAUUCAUUUAUAUUCAUCAGCAUUUUUACAAACUUUCAUAUUUAUUUGGACAAAUUUUCAUAAAUCCAAACUUUCAUCGAUACCAAAGCAACACGAGCAGGCAUAAAUUAUUGUCUCUUAUUUUUUUACAGAAAAUGAACGUUGUGUUGCAUAGAGCUCCAUCUAUCCAAAUUAACUUUUUUUUUAUCAAGGUAAAAGAAAUCCAUGCCAUAGGGAUUGUAAGUUAACAGAAUUAUAGGCAAUCGGAUUUCAGUGUAAUCGGAAUUAUAUCCAAUAAAAUUUCUGGGCAAUCGGAUUCUAAGUAAUCGGAAUUCUAGGUAAUCGGUAAUCUAUCUCAUAGAAAUUCUACGUCAUGGAUAAUUUGGGUAAUCGGAUUUUGGGUUAUGGAAAUCUAGGUAAUCGGGAUCUAAGUCACCGGUAAUCUAACUCAUUGGUCUACACCUAAUAGACGUCUUCCC
Cotesia glomerata is the source of this 512-nucleotide long non-coding RNA. RefSeq lists it as uncharacterized. The record is from RefSeq and is a predicted model, not a curated record. NCBI's taxonomy places the organism in Eukaryota, Metazoa, Arthropoda, Insecta, Hymenoptera, Braconidae. The transcript is spliced from 2 exons.